AUCAUCCCCAAGGGUUUGGCGCCGGGCCGAGGUCGUCGUUGGCGCGCAGCGACGCAACGGUCUCAUCGACGAGGCGCGGCUCGCGAGCGGCAACAAAGCGCACCACCGAGAGGAGGCCGCGGGCCAGCGCCUCUGUCACCACCAACCGCACCGUGGUAUCGACGCGCUUGUCGACAUCGCACUGGGCAACGUCGGGCCUGGAGCGCCGGUCCAACAGGACACGCAUGACGUCCCUGUUGCCGAGCCAGACCUCUGACAGCGGCACCGCCGUGGUGUGUCCAUACAGCGUCCACGCGUGCACAAGACCGUUGGUGUCGAUCGGACAAUCGAGGAUCUUGUCCACGGCGGGCGCGUGUCGGGCCUUUGCCGCCGAGUCGAGCGCGACGGCCCACACAGCGCCCGCCAGCGCCUCGCCACCCCACGCGCCGGACGUGAUCGCGGACAAUUCUGUGCUGAGCGAUGCCAUGUCAGACUUGACGGCGUCGAUUAGAUCGAGCCGGCCGGCGCUCGCCGCGCGCUGCGCCAGCGGGGUCAACAGAGGAAAUCGCUCAAAGGCCGCACGCGACCGAAACUGGUCAUAAAGCCAGCGCGCAUCGUCUGCAUCGAUGUUGCGGAUGAGCGUCGCUGUGUCGGUUGCCGGGUGUGCGUGCAAGACGCGCACGAGGCGCGAUUCAUCGACGAGGCGCCUCAGCAAGGCAAAGGUGUGCCCAUCACGCACGUACCACAGCAUCGCGUCCAACUUGUCGUCUCCGAUACUGCGCACUGCGUCCUCGUUCGUGACGGUGAACGUCGCAUCGGGAUCGGCGCCAUGUGGGUGCGUCGGCACACAAGAUUCCCAUCCGUGCCGAGGCGGGUCGACGCGCACGCCCGCGGCGACACAUAGGGCGUCAAAGAUGUCUGCCACCCGCUCGACCGAGACGCCACAGCCGAGGGUCCUGAUGCAUGCCGUCUUGAGGCACACCGGGUCCCAUUUGGCGGGCCGGUUUGUCGGCCGGCAGAGCCACACGAGGGUGUCGUCGGGCGCGCCGGUGCCGGCGGCGUCGAUCAGAGCGUACACGAGGUCGGUCCAUGUCUCGGGGGUCACGGGCCACAAGGAGCCGCCGGCGCGUGCCAGGCGCCGCACAACCGCACCGUGCCCGUGUGCGGCCGCCGCCCGCAGCGCCACGUCAAAGCGCCGGCCC
Molecule: long non-coding RNA, 1181 nt
Filed under: Pandoravirus dulcis
Description: putative ncRNA
Source: RNAcentral